ACGGAAGAUCCGAGCGUUAUUCGGAAUUAUUGGGUUUAAAGGGAGCGUAGGCGGAUGAUCAAGUCAGUUGUGAAAGCUUGGGGCUUAACCUUGAAAUUGCAGUUGAAACUGGUCAUCUUGAGUGUACAUAAGGGUGGUGGAAUUUGUGGUGUAGCGGUGAAAUGCAUAGAUAUCACGAAGAACACCGAUUGCGAAGGCAGCCACCUGGGGUGCAACUGACGCUGAGGCUCGAGAGUGUGGGAAUCAAACAG
Molecule: ribosomal RNA, 251 nt
Filed under: uncultured prokaryote
Description: partial 16S rRNA
Rfam family: Bacterial small subunit ribosomal RNA
Source: RNAcentral